RNAcentral lists this ribosomal RNA (232 nucleotides) under uncultured bacterium. Its description in RNAcentral is "partial 16S ribosomal RNA". It matches the Rfam family "Bacterial small subunit ribosomal RNA", at positions 118 to 351 of the family's 1533-position model. The record is from RNAcentral.
UGAGUAACCUGCCCUUAACUCUGGGAUAAGCCUGGGAAACUGGGUCUAAUAUUGGAUAUGACUCCUCAUCGCAUGGUGGGGGGUGGAAAGCUUUUGUGGUUUUGGAUGGACUCGCGGCCUAUCAGCUUGUUGGUGAGGUAAUGGCCCACCAAGGCGACGACGGGUAGCCGGCCUGAGAGGGUGACCGGCCACACUGGGACUGAGACACGGCCCAGACUCCUACGGGAGGCAG